AAAAUAGAUUUUUAAACUCCCCUCUGAAAAGAAAAAGCCAGUUACAGAGAACUCCCCCGUACUCCCUCCGCCCCCAAUCGGGAGAACAGUUGACGUCAAAGCGUUCGCGGAGUAAAGGAGCUUUGCUCCCCGCAUUUCAUAGCUCUCGAGACAUAAAAUGAAAAUAGGAAUCGCAUCGACCCGACUGACACUUCAUCGGCUGUUCGUUCAACCUAAUUAGCCCCCCAGGGUGGGGGAUUGAAUAAAAUUGUCGAAAAGCGACACUCGAAAUUAAUGGUCGACGCCCGACACCGACGGACGGGGCUGAGAAUAAUUUGAAUUAACCCUCGAACGCGCAUAAAUGCCUUUUAACGAGCACUUUGGCCACUCGAAGGACGAGGCCUGGCUACGGGAAAUUGCGUUGGAUUUAUUCAAUCGUGAAACCGACGAGACUGUUCUCCGUGCAGUUGUGCAAGGAUAUUCGAAGAAGCGAAAGGAAGGUAAUCGGCUUGUCCGACGACGAAAGUCGUCGUUUUCACGGCGAAGAAGUGAUCAACGCGACGGAUAUUCCGUUGUGCCGGGUGCCUAGCGACUUUAUAGCUAGCCACGAGGAAUAGGGAUAGUAGUGACACAGGACCAGGGGAAGUUUUGACGGUAUUGAUUUCCCCAAGCCCCGGGACCUCGUACCAUCUGCAACUCAAACAGCUUGCCUCGUUCUCCGUGCAGUUUGCGACUUUACUAUCCUUCGAUGGAGCGGUAAACCCGGAACGACAGUUUUGCCGGAACAUCGACGGGAGACGAUCCUAUAAAACCGAAGCUCGAAAUUGUUUUGAGACUUGGUGGAAUCAAAAUAAAGCCAUUCCGAUAUAUUCAGACCUGUACCGCCUACUAAAAAUCGGCAUGGACUUUCCAGACAGCCCAAUACAUAAAGGACUCCUAAAAAUGUGUUUUCAUCUAAAUUUCGAGACAUUAUUGAUUCCCAGCAGCGACAUGUCGAUUCCGUAAUAAUAGACUGAUUUAAACGAUGUUACCAUCAAUCCGAGCUGGAGGAUCGUUAUUAAAUGAGCUUGGGAUAAAACACGGUAAUCCUGGACACAAUCGAAGUAUAUAUGAUACCCGGUGAAUAGCCGACGGGCAUUACAUUUAAUAAAUACGUCUCCGUUACGGUGUAGAUUAUUCAGUAUUAUGGCGCACUACGGAUAAUCCUGCAUCGUCGUUAUUAUUCGCUGUUAUACGAGGACACGAAACGCGUCAAUAAAGAAAUUGAUUGAAAAACGAAAGCUGUUCACAAUUUCAUAAUAAAAUGCAUAGAAAUUUUCUUUCGUUAUUUCCGUUAUAUUUCAUAUCUCCGUUUCUCUCUGCGCGUGGUGAUAAUUUUGUGACUCACUGUACAUUCACCCGGUAUAAAGGUUGAUUUACAUCGCGCUGAAUAUUUCAAUCGUUUCGCGAUCCCGCGCUAAUAAAUUUUUAAUCAAACCCGUGUCGGCUGCUGGCGUUUAAUUAUAGGUUCGAUGCGGAUAGCAGAGAAACGAUGGAUACCCAGUCGACGAGAUUUCCACCAAACGAAUCCGAUUCAAAGAAUCUUGGUGGCACCCUGUGAAUAUCGUCAUUCAUUAUCAGUCAAUCAACAGCGUUGAUUAACGCUGCUGACCGUUGCAUGCAUACAUUCACGAUACAAAUAAAGACUUCUGCAAUUUAAUUCCUUCUUUAUUCUCACUUUAGUUUCUUCUUUAUAUUCUCAAAAAUGUACUUUUUUUUUUUUAUGUAAAUAUAAACUAUUACUGAAAAAAUGCUUUCAUGGGUGAAUUCGGUCAAUUUGUCAAACGUUAAAUUGUCUAAUCUUCAACAGUCUCGGGACGAAAUGUGAACUUUGUAGAAAUUUUCUCGAGUUUUAGUCAAACAGCGAACGCGUUAAAAAUUGGACCAAACAAGGAGGAACGGCUGUCGAAGGAGCACGAUGCGGUAAUGUUGAUGCGGGCGCAUAUAUCCGCCGCGUUCGUUAAAGGAGCCUCCUACCUUUUUACU
This is a long non-coding RNA of Hylaeus volcanicus, 2004 nucleotides long. RefSeq lists it as uncharacterized. The transcript has 3 exons. Lineage: Eukaryota; Metazoa; Arthropoda; Insecta; Hymenoptera; Colletidae. The record is from RefSeq and is a predicted model, not a curated record.